Molecule: long non-coding RNA, 401 nt
Organism: Mauremys mutica (yellowpond turtle)
Lineage: Eukaryota; Metazoa; Chordata; Testudines; Geoemydidae
Exons: 3
Source: RefSeq, a predicted model, not a curated record
AAACACCAGGAUAGGGAGUAAGUUUUGAGCUGCUACAGCUUGUAUGGAUUGUGUAUGGAGCAGGUUGGGGAAGCUACCUGCUCCUACUCAAAGAGUUAUGCUCAUAGGGAUCAUGAAGGAUCCAGGAUUGGCUGGAAACAUCGACUUACCCACCAAGAAGGGACAGUAUGAGCAAUACAAGCUUCCCCACUGCUUCCUAGUCCAUGUGCCUCAGCCCUGACCCGGAGGAACCACUCCUGGAGCAACUACAUGCCUAGAAGCCAGGCUACCUUCCAGUCUAAGAUCACAUGUCGUGUUUGACCCAGCAUUCUUUAUAAAGCAGAUUUCAAAUAACCUGCAUAGAUGGCAACAGUCAGCAGAGAUGGAGGUGGGGCUGAGAAGAAGCAAUAUAGCAAAGGUGU